UACGUAGGGGGCAAGCGUUGUCCGGAUUUACUGGGCGUAAAGAGCGCGCAGGCGGUCGUUCAAGUCGCGUGUGAAAGCCCCCGGCUCAACUGGGGAGGGUCACGCGAUACUGAUCGACUCGAAGGCAGGAGAGGGAAGUGGAAUUCCCGGUGUAGUGGUGAAAUGCGUAGAUAUCGGGAGGAACACCGGUGGCGAAGGCGGCUUGCUGGGCCUUACCUGACGCUGAGGAGCGAAAGCGUGGGGAGCGAACAGG
This 253-nucleotide ribosomal RNA is filed under the name uncultured bacterium. RNAcentral describes it as "partial 16S ribosomal RNA". It matches the Rfam family "Bacterial small subunit ribosomal RNA", at positions 524 to 776 of the family's 1533-position model. The record is from RNAcentral.